CCUACGGGUGGCAGCAUUGAGGAAUAUUGGUCAAUGGGCGAGAGCCUGAACCAGCCAAGUCGCGUGAGGGAGUACUACCCUAUGGGUUGUAAACCUCUUUUGUCGGGGAGCAAAAGCCGGACGGGUCCGGCUGUGAGAGUACCCGAAGAAAAAGCAUCGGCUAACUCCGUGCCAGCAGCCGCGGUAAUACGGAGGAUGGGAGCGUUAUCCGGAUUGAUUGGGUUUAAAGGGGGCGCAGGCGGAUUUUUAAGUCAGCGGUCAAAUCGGUGGGCUCAAACCAAUCCAGCCGUUGAAACUGGGGUGAUAGAGUGUGCGAGAGGUAUGCGGAAUGCGUGGUGUAGCGGUGAAAUGCAUAGAUAUCACGCAGAACCCCGAUUGCGAAGGCAGCAUACCGGUGCACAACUGACGCUCAGGCACGAAAGCGUGGGUAUCGAACAGGAUUAGAUACCCGAGUAGUC
This 458-nucleotide ribosomal RNA is filed under the name uncultured bacterium. RNAcentral's name for it is "partial 16S ribosomal RNA". It matches the Rfam family "Bacterial small subunit ribosomal RNA", at positions 338 to 795 of the family's 1533-position model. The record is from RNAcentral.